GUCGAACGCUUUUUCUUUCACCGGAGCUUGCUCCACCGAAAGAAAAAGAGUGGCGAACGGGUGAGUAACACGUGGGUAACCUGCCCAUCAGAAGGGGAUAACACUUGGAAACAGGUGCUAAUACCGUAUAACACUAUUUUCCGCAUGGAAGAAAGUUGAAAGGCGCUUUUGCGUCACUGAUGGAUGGACCCGCGGUGCAUUAGCUAGUUGGUGAGGUAACGGCUCACCAAGGCAACGAUGCAUAGCCGACCUGAGAGGGUGAUCGGCCACACUGGGACUGAGACACGGCCCAGACUCCUACGGGAGGCAGCAGUAGGGAAUCUUCGGCAAUGGACGAAAGUCUGACCGAGCAACGCCGCGUGAGUGAAGAAGGUUUUCGGAUCGUAAAACUCUGUUGUUAGAGAAGAACAAGGAUGAGAGUAAAAUGUUCAUCCCUUGACGGUAUCUAACCAGAAAGCCACGGCUAACUACGUGCCAGCAGCCGCGGUAAUACGUAGGUGGCAAGCGUUGUCCGGAUUUAUUGGGCGUAAAGCGAGCGCAGGCGGUUUCUUAAGUCUGAUGUGAAAGCCCCCGGCUCAACCGGGGAGGGUCAUUGGAAACUGGGAGACUUGAGUGCAGAAGAGGAGAGUGGAAUUCCAUGUGUAGCGGUGAAAUGCGUAGAUAUAUGGAGGAACACCAGUGGCGAAGGCGGCUCUCUGGUCUGUAACUGACGCUGAGGCUCGAAAGCGUGGGGAGCGAACAGGAUUAGAUACCCUGGUAGUCCACGCC
RNAcentral lists this ribosomal RNA (768 nucleotides) under Enterococcus casseliflavus. Its description in RNAcentral is "bacterial SSU rRNA". It matches the Rfam family "Bacterial small subunit ribosomal RNA", at positions 61 to 801 of the family's 1533-position model. Lineage: Bacteria; Bacillati; Bacillota; Bacilli; Lactobacillales; Enterococcaceae. The record is from RNAcentral.